AUUGAACGCUGGCGGCAUGCCUUACACAUGCAAGUCGAACGGCAGCACGGGAGCAAUCCUGGUGGCGAGUGGCGAACGGGUGAGUAAUAUAUCGGAACGUGCCCAGUCGUGGGGAUAACGUAGCGAAAGCUACGCUAAUACCGCAUACGAUCUAUGGAUGAAAGCGGGGGAUCGCAAGACCUCGCGCGAUUGGAGCGGCCGAUAUCAGAUUAGGUAGUUGGUGAGGUAAAGGCUCACCAAGCCGACGAUCUGUAGCUGGUCUGAGAGGACGACCAGCCACACUGGGACUGAGACACGGCCCAGACUCCUACGGAGGCAGCAGUGGGAAUUUUGGACAAUGGGCGCAAGCCUGAUCCAGCAAUGCCGCGUGCAGGAUGAAGGCCUU
Molecule: ribosomal RNA, 385 nt
Filed under: uncultured bacterium
Lineage: Bacteria
Description: bacterial SSU rRNA
Rfam family: Bacterial small subunit ribosomal RNA
Source: RNAcentral